This 212-nucleotide ribosomal RNA is filed under the name uncultured bacterium. RNAcentral describes it as "partial 16S ribosomal RNA". It matches the Rfam family "Bacterial small subunit ribosomal RNA", at positions 1289 to 1500 of the family's 1533-position model. The record is from RNAcentral.
CAGUUCGGAUUGCAGUCUGCAACUCGACUGCAUGAAGCUGGAAUCGCUAGUAAUCGCGGAUCAGAAUGCCGCGGUGAAUACGUUCCCGGGUCUUGUACACACCGCCCGUCACACCAUGGGAGUCAGUAACGCCCGAAGUCAGUGACCGAACCGAGAGGACGGAGCUGCCGAAGGCGGGACGGAUAACUGGGGUGAAGUCGUAACAAGGUAAC